AUGAGCUCGGUGGCGGGUGUCGUCGCGCCGGCGCCGGCCCGAGCCGCCGCCCCCUCCUCGAAGCUCCCCAAUGCGGCGCGGCCAAAGAAGGGCAAGACAUUGGCGAAGAAGAACAAGGCGGCGGACGGCUCCGGCACCUCGAAGGCGAGGAGGAAGAAGCUUGUAGGGCGUGCGACGGGCGCGGCGGCUACCGAAGCGCCGACAAGCUCACUCGUUGAUCCGGUAACAUGUUCGACCAAAUGCCCCCAAGGUAAAAAAAAUUCCAACUUUUCUUUUUUGUUAUUUUUUCAAUGCAUUCAUAUAGAUAGCUUAUUUGCAUUGUUCAAAAAACUUUGUAGUCUCAAUGAUGAUGCAUACAUGUCAGCUAUGGGUGUAGGCUCCAACAAUUCGCAUUGGUCUCAAACCAGUGACAUGCAUUCCGAAGACCAUGAGUUCGAGGUGGACGAGGAGGGUGAGGGCAUUUUCGACGCACCGAAAGAAAGAGCGGGCAAUUACACCAACGCUGAUGACAUCUUACUAUGCAAUACUUGGUUGCAAGUGUCGAGGGAUCCAUCCGUUGGAGGUGAUCAAAGUAGAGAUGCUUAUUGGGGGCAGAUGAAAGAACACUUUGAUGUUCAUAACGUGAGUGGAAUUGACCGCUCCGAGAGAUCACUUCGGUCCCGAUGGUCGACAAUCAACUCGGAUUGUCAAAGGUGGGCGGCUUGUCAAAAGGCGGUUGACAAGUUGAACCCAAGUGGCACAAAUGAGGACGAUAGAGUAAGUGGCAUUUCAUACAUGUUCAUCACACAUGUUCAUCAUACUUGUUGUUGGUGCUAA
Molecule: ribosomal RNA, 816 nt
Filed under: Triticum aestivum (bread wheat)
Lineage: Eukaryota; Viridiplantae; Streptophyta; Magnoliopsida; Poales; Poaceae
Description: partial small subunit ribosomal RNA
Source: RNAcentral